This 146-nucleotide microRNA precursor is filed under the name Physcomitrium patens. Its description in RNAcentral is "Physcomitrella patens miR166g stem-loop (ppt-MIR166g)". Its record names the gene ppt-MIR166g. Lineage: Eukaryota; Viridiplantae; Streptophyta; Bryopsida; Funariales; Funariaceae. The record is from miRBase by way of RNAcentral.
GUGCGGAGGUGUUUAGGUGAAACUCUGCUGCGAGGAAUGCCCCCUGGCCCGAAGGCAUGUACUUCUCCCUCUUCGAAUGGUGUGAGCAUCAAGCUUCGGACCAGGCUUCAUUCCCCUCAGCGCAGUUACAUUUCGAUAUUCACGUC